GCAUAGCCGAGUUGAGAGACUGAUCGGACCACAUUGGGACUGAGACACGGCCCAAACUACCUACGGGAGGCAGCAGUAGGGAAUCUUCCACAAUGGACGCAAGCCUGAUGGAGCAACGCCGCGUGAGUGAAGAAGGGUUUCGGCUCGUAAAGCUCUGUUGUUGGUGAAGAAGGACAGGGGUAGUAACUGACCCUUGUUUGACGGUAAUCAAUUAGAAAGUCACGGCUAACUACGUGCCAGCAGCCGCGGUAAU
This 253-nucleotide ribosomal RNA is filed under the name uncultured Lactobacillus sp. RNAcentral describes it as "partial 16S ribosomal RNA". It matches the Rfam family "Bacterial small subunit ribosomal RNA", at positions 281 to 524 of the family's 1533-position model. Lineage: Bacteria; Bacillati; Bacillota; Bacilli; Lactobacillales; Lactobacillaceae. The record is from RNAcentral.